GGCUCAGUUGGUAAGGGCAUGGUGCUAGCAACGUCAAGGUCAUGGGUUCAAGUCCCAU
Molecule: transfer RNA, 58 nt
Filed under: Salmo salar (Atlantic salmon)
Lineage: Eukaryota; Metazoa; Chordata; Actinopteri; Salmoniformes; Salmonidae
Rfam family: tRNA
About the family: Transfer RNA (tRNA) molecules are approximately 80 nucleotides in length. Their secondary structure includes four short double-helical elements and three loops (D, anti-codon, and T loops). Further hydrogen bonds mediate the characteristic L-shaped molecular structure. tRNAs have two regions of fundamental functional importance: the anti-codon, which is responsible for specific mRNA codon recognition, and the 3' end, to which the tRNAs corresponding amino acid is attached (by aminoacyl-tRNA synthetases). tRNAs cope with the degeneracy of the genetic code in two manners: having more than one tRNA (with a specific anti-codon) for a particular amino acid; and 'wobble' base-pairing, i.e. permitting non-standard base-pairing at the 3rd anti-codon position.
Source: Rfam by way of RNAcentral